GUGGGGAAUCUUGCGCAAUGGGCGAAAGCCUGACGCAGCCAUGCCGCGUGAAUGAUGAAGGUCUUAGGAUUGUAAAAUUCUUUCACCGGGGACGAUAAUGACGGUACCCGGAGAAGAAGCUCCGGCUAACUUCGUGCCAGCAGCCGCGGUAAUACGAAGGGGGCUAGCGUUGCUCGGAAUUACUGGGCGUAAAGGGCGCGUAGGCGGACAGCUUAGUCAGAGGUGAAAGCCCAGGGCUCAACCUUGGAAUUGCCUUUGAUACUGGCUGUCUUGAGUUUGCGAGAGGUGAGUGGAACUCCGAGUGUAGAGGUGAAAUUCGUAGAUAUUCGGAAGAACACCAGUGGCGAAGGCGACUCACUGGCCCAAUACUGACGCUGAGGCGCGAAAGCGUGGGGAGCAAACAGGAUUAGAAACCCUUGUAGUCC
RNAcentral lists this ribosomal RNA (425 nucleotides) under uncultured bacterium. RNAcentral describes it as "partial 16S ribosomal RNA". It matches the Rfam family "Bacterial small subunit ribosomal RNA", at positions 354 to 796 of the family's 1533-position model. The record is from RNAcentral.